RNAcentral lists this ribosomal RNA (123 nucleotides) under Harpegnathos saltator (Jerdon's jumping ant). The record is from RNAcentral. Lineage: Eukaryota; Metazoa; Arthropoda; Insecta; Hymenoptera; Formicidae.
GCCAACGGUCACAUCACGUUAAAAAUAUCAGUUCUCAUCCGAUCGCUGCAAUUAAACAACUAACGUUGAGCAUGAUUAGUACUCAGGUGGAUAACUGCUUAGGAAUAACUUGUACUAUUGCCA